RNAcentral lists this long non-coding RNA (789 nucleotides) under Anas platyrhynchos (mallard). RNAcentral describes it as "lncRNA (ENSAPLG00020012830.1)". The record is from RNAcentral. Lineage: Eukaryota; Metazoa; Chordata; Aves; Anseriformes; Anatidae.
GUGAUUCCCUCCUACACCCCCAGAAACCCAAGCAUGGGGAGUGGGCGUGCUGUGCUGCCUUCCCCAGGGCAUGGGGACAAGCAGGAGCUUUACCAGGCAGGAGUUGUUACAGCUGCACGGGUGUGUCCUGCUCCCUGCCUCUCUCCAUCACACCCCGCUGCCUUCAGACCCUCUCUCCCCCUGCUCCACAUGCAUGGAUCCCUCACGUUCUCCCCACAAGCACGGUGUUGGCAGUGGCGGCCGUCGGCCUCGUCCUCCUCUCUACAGGCAUCUGGUUUGCCAUCAGGAAAGGUGCCUGCAGAGGGAGAUGCCCAAGGCAGCAGCACGUUGACAGCCCACAGAUGGAAACCACAGACCAUGGCGAAGUCACAUGUGAGUACUACCUCCUCCGUUGGCGGAAGCCAUGCACCCGUGUCAGGUGGAAUCCCAGCACUUCAUUUCCCACUGGGACAUACAGAAUCCCUGCCUGUUCAUCAAGACCAGGUUUCUCUCCAGCACCUCACGUCGUCCUUCUUCCUUGCAUGCAGAGUGCGGCUGCUGCCUGCACAAGGGACAUGGCAGCAUCCCAGUGCUCCCAGGGACAAAGCCCUUUUGCUUGGGGGGUUCCUUCCACACCAGCUCCGGCCUCAGGCUGCAUUUCCCCUGCUUCAGCCUCUGCUUUUGUCCUUUCUUCAGUUUCUCUUCAGUGUCAUUUCUGCUUCAAGAACUACACAAAGCACAUCACAGCAACAAAAGCUGUCGCUCUGUUUCCUUGCACUGCUGGGGAAAACAUUUUAUAGCUCAUUCUGA